This is a long non-coding RNA of Oryza brachyantha (malo sina), 1986 nucleotides long. RefSeq lists it as uncharacterized. NCBI's taxonomy places the organism in Eukaryota, Viridiplantae, Streptophyta, Magnoliopsida, Poales, Poaceae. The record is from RefSeq and is a predicted model, not a curated record. The transcript is spliced from 5 exons.
CUCGGGGCGCAUCGCCCCGAAGGUGCUUGCCUUCUGGAGGGGAGGGAGAUUCCUUAAACUGAAUUGCUGGUUGCCUGAAGAAAAAAAGGGAAGUGUUCCAUACUGUUGUCAUUGCUUCUGCUCUGGACCUCCUGGCAUUGUACCUCUCAGGACUGGAUGACAGGUACCUUUAUGGCAUUUUGUUGUGCUAUUUUUUCCCUAUCCUUCACUCUCUAAAAUAUUGAACUAUGCAAUGACAAAUGUUGUUCUACUCUCAAAUACUAGUAGUAAAGCCAAUGUGGCGAUAAACAAUGAUAGGAAACAAAGUGUCAGACGAUAGAAAUCCACUUAAUAAGGAUGUUCUUGCGAGAAAAAAACUAAGCAAAAGAUGACAUAUAUAACUGCAUUUCAGCACUGCAAUUCUUCACUGGAAAGAUGGAAUAGAAAUGCUUGGGGUAAAGCAGGAAUGCCUAAGAAGCAUGGGAUGAGACAGAACAGCAAGAGAUACACACCUUGGGUUAAACUGAAGAAACAGACGCACACUAUGGCCUGGAAGAUGAAUAGCACUCUCUUGCUCAAAGCCAUGGAGCCUGAGAAGCACCUGACAAGCCAAACUCUUUUCCUUCCCUCCAAAACAGCAGUGGCCUUAUCUUUCUCCGUCCCCUAUUUCUUGAUCUCCACCUAAGCUUGCUCACCGCAUUUGAGUGGGUUUAUGUAGAGGGCUUGGCUCUGGCAGAUUGAUAGCAAUAGGCUGCUGUGUAUAUGCAUUAAAGAGAGCUCACCAGCUGCAGUAAGUGCUAUUCAAUGCAGAGGGAGCACUGGCUUGGUACAACUGGGAUUUAUGGACUUCAUCAACCAACCAACCGUAGCAAGGCUGCUCUGAAGAUUGGAAGAAAGGGACCUCAUCCUCUCAGCUCUUUAUAAGUUGGGAGAGCCAAGCCCUAACUCUUUAUAAGGACAAUGCGACCAGUGAUGAACAAGAAAAAAAGCUUCUCACAGUGACAUCUGCUAUCAUAACAAGACACCCUAACAACCUACUUUCAGACAGCCUUGUCAUGGGUUUAUUUAAAGGUAACACGAGCUAGCGUUAAGUCAGUUACACGCCCGUUUUCACCUGUUGUCACAGUGUCACACACCAAGCGCGUGCGCAAGUAAAAAACAAGUUGCAUGGGACUGACCGAGCUGCCGAAGCAGAGUGGUGCACCUAGGGUCAUAAGACCACAUCCUUGUCCGGGCAGUUCGCUGAUUGCCGGACGGUUCCUUAAUUUUCUCAACAGAAGCCCUUAAUCUGUAUUGAAUGGCUCAAAAUGAAUCUGUAGCCAAACACUUCAGGAUACACUCGUCGUUCUACUGAUUGAAUUCUGGAAUCUUGAUGGUAUGGAUCAGAAAGAAUCAGUACUGGACCUCCGUCAAAUGGGGCAAUUUGACCAUCAUCAACUCACCAUGGCUAUGAGCUGGAACCUACCGGUGAAAAUACGUGGCUCUGACGAUCUAUCCACCGUCUGCUAUAUCAUCAAGAUGCUCCAUCUCCCUGGGGUCCUAUUCCUUAAGACUUUCCAUCCUCUUCCAUCAUCAUCUUGACGAAAACGAAGAAAAAAUGGGACGAUCUUGCUACUGUUUUAAGUUGAAGGCUGCAGCAGAUCAGCACAGUCCUCAUGUCUCUUCAAAGAUGAUUGGAUGGAAAAACAAAUUCUACAUCUGAUCUGUAUUCUGGUAGCUGGGUCUCAAAGAGCUGACGCAAUGAUCUGACAAGAUGUUUCAAAUUAUAAUUAGUCACACUGACAAACCUGCUUCUGUUGUUCGCCGAAAUUCUUUUGGAAUGCCUCGGUAUGAUUACUGAAUAGUGAUAAAUUAAUAGGUCAUUGGGGGUGUCAUCUCCACACGUUCGCUCUACUAAUACGUUUUCGAGUCAUUGGCAUUAGCACCCUUAACUUAACUGUUUGUCUUUUUUUUACCUAACAUUUAUAAGUAGUGGAAAAUAUGCUAUACUAUCAAAUCAUCAUAAUU